GAUGAACGCUGGCGGCGUGCCUAAUACAUGCAAGUCGAGCGAACGGACGAGAAGCUUGCUUUUCUGAUGUUAGCGGCGGACGGGUGAGUAACACGUGGAUAACCUACCUAUAAGACUGGGAUAACUUCGGGAAACCGGAGCUAAUACCGGAUAAUAUUUUGAACCGCAUGGUUCAAAAGUGAAAGACGGUCUUGCUGUCACUUAUAGAUGGAUCCGCGCUGCAUUAGCUAGUUGGUAAGGUAACGGCUUACCAAGGCAACGAUGCAUAGCCGACCUGAGAGGGUGAUCGGCCACACUGGAACUGAGACACGGUCCAGACUCCUACGGGAGGCAGCAGUGGGGUAUCUUCCGCAAUGGGCGAAAGCCUGACGGAGCAACGCCGCGUGAGUGAUGAAGGUCUUCGGAUCGUAAAACUCUGUUAUUAGGGAAGAACAGAUGUGUAAGUAACUGUGCACAUCUUGACGGUACCUAAUCAGAAAGCCACGGCUAACUACGUG
Molecule: ribosomal RNA, 497 nt
Filed under: uncultured bacterium
Lineage: Bacteria
Description: partial 16S ribosomal RNA
Rfam family: Bacterial small subunit ribosomal RNA
Source: RNAcentral